RNAcentral lists this ribosomal RNA (884 nucleotides) under Staphylococcus sp. M_A_09/11_2_2. Its description in RNAcentral is "bacterial SSU rRNA". It matches the Rfam family "Bacterial small subunit ribosomal RNA", at positions 23 to 889 of the family's 1533-position model. Lineage: Bacteria; Bacillati; Bacillota; Bacilli; Caryophanales; Staphylococcaceae. The record is from RNAcentral.
CGUCAGAUGAACGCGGGCGGCGUGCCUAAUACAUGCAAGUCGAGCGAACAGACGAGGAGCUUGCUCCUCUGACGUAGCGGCGGACGGGUGAGUAACACGUGGAUAACCUACCUAUAAGACUGGGAUAACUUCGGGAAACCGGAGCUAAUACCGGAUAACAUGUUGAACCGCAUGGUUCAACAGUGAAAGACGGUCUUGCUGUCACUUAUAGAUGGAUCCGCGCCGCAUUAGCUAGUUGGUAAGGUAACGGCUUACCAAGGCAACGAUGCGUAGCCGACCUGAGAGGGUGAUCGGCCACACUGGAACUGAGACACGGUCCAGACUCCUACGGGAGGCAGCAGUAGGGAAUCUUCCGCAAUGGGCGAAAGCCUGACGGAGCAACGCCGCGUGAGUGAAGAAGGUCUUCGGAUCGUAAAACUCUGUUAUUAGGGAAGAACAAAUGUGUAAGUAACUAUGCACGUCUUGACGGUACCUAAUCAGAAAGCCACGGCUAACUACGUGCCAGCAGCCGCGGUAAUACGUAGGUGGCAAGCGUUAUCCGGAAUUAUUGGGCGUAAAGCGCGCGUAGGCGGUUUUUUAAGUCUGAUGUGAAAGCCCACGGCUCAACCGUGGAGGGUCAUUGGAAACUGGAAAACUUGAGUGCAGAAGAGGAAAGUGGAAUUCCAUGUGUAGCGGUGAAAUGCGCAGAGAUAUGGAGGAACACCAGUGGCGAAGGCGACUUUCUGGUCUGUAACUGACGCUGAUGUGCGAAAGCGUGGGGAUCAAACAGGAUUAGAUACCCUGGUAGUCCACGCCGUAAACGAUGAGUGCUAAGUGUUAGGGGGUUUCCGCCCCUUAGUGCUGCAGCUAACGCAUUAAGCACUCCGCCUGGAGACGCCGACUGG